Molecule: long non-coding RNA, 1016 nt
Organism: Eupeodes corollae
Lineage: Eukaryota; Metazoa; Arthropoda; Insecta; Diptera; Syrphidae
Exons: 2
Source: RefSeq, a predicted model, not a curated record
UGAUGUAAGUAAAACACAUUUAUCUUGGGAAUAUUAAUUAGAAAAAAAAAAACAAUUUAUUAUUAAUGUUUUUGGAAGUAUAAGUAAACUAUCAUGACUAUUGGUAUAUUCUUACUUUGAUGUAUAUUUGAUUAAAUUGUAUGAACCUAGCCCAGGAUACAAAAGUAUGUGAUUAACUCAUCGGGUGAUGUGUAUACAAAAUUUAAUUUUCAGAGCAAAUAUUAAAAUUUUAUAAAUAAAAUAAUGCUCAAAAAGGUACUCCAAGAUUUUGAAUAUGUACAGUUGCUCCAACGCAUAAUCGUACAGUGGUUUCAUUUCUACAAAAUGUGCAAUAAACUUAGAAAGAACCGCUAUAUAUUUGUUUCGCUCUUAUUUAAAGUUGUACACUUACUUAUCCAAAAAACUAAACCUUUCAAAUAUUAACGGUUAAUUCAAAGAGUAGAACUAAAAAUAAUACAGUUUUUAAAGUUUAACAAAUAAUCGGACAAAGCAAAGAGAGUAAAUGAAAAAUACCGUUACUUAAAAAUUUUCACUCCAAGCACCUUUUUUUUUGUUCUGAUCAAUCUUUCAAGGCAAACUUUUAAGUGAAAGAGAAGAGCGGUCAAUAUUAAAAGAAAUGAAAAAAAUCCUUUCAAAACAGCAAAAGAUCUUCAAGUUUCCUUAAAAAAUCGUGUUGGAAAGGACGUUUGCCUCAACACUGUCCGUAAAACACUCCAUAGAUACGAAUACUAUGGAAGAGUUACCAGAAAAAAAAAACAUUUAUUAGCCUAAAAAACAAAAAUAAAAGGUUAAAUUAUGCAAAAGAUAAUUUAUUGAAACAGGAAGAUUUUUGGAAUACGGUAAUGUGUUCAUAUUUCUAAAAAAAAUAUAUUGUAAUUUGCAGUUUUCGAUGCUUUAAGGUCUUGUUUACUGAUGAGAGCAAAUUUAUUUUGCAUGGCUCGGAUGGAAAGAUGUAUGUGUGGCGUAAGCCAAAUACUGAGUUCCAGCAACAAAACACCAAAGCCACAAUAAAACAC